UCCUUGUGCUUUCAACUGAAAACAGUC
This 27-nucleotide non-coding RNA is filed under the name Mus musculus (house mouse). Lineage: Eukaryota; Metazoa; Chordata; Mammalia; Rodentia; Muridae. The record is from RNAcentral. RNAcentral also lists the same sequence under 1 other name.